RNAcentral lists this ribosomal RNA (926 nucleotides) under uncultured bacterium. RNAcentral's name for it is "bacterial SSU rRNA". It matches the Rfam family "Bacterial small subunit ribosomal RNA", at positions 8 to 924 of the family's 1533-position model. The record is from RNAcentral.
AGAGUUUGAUCCUGGCUCAGGAUGAACGCUAGCUACAGGCUUAACACAUGCAAGUCGAGGGGAAACGACAUCGAAAGCUUGCUUUUGAUGGGCGUCGACCGGCGCACGGGUGAGUAACGCGUAUCCAACCUGCCCACCACUUGGGGAUAACCUUGCGAAAGUAAGACUAAUACCCAAUGACGUCUCUAGAAGACAUCUGAAAGAGAUUAAAGAUUUAUCGGUGAUGGAUGGGGAUGCGUCUGAUUAGCUUGUUGGCGGGGUAACGGCCCACCAAGGCAACGAUCAGUAGGGGUUCUGAGAGGAAGGUCCCCCACAUUGGAACUGAGACACGGUCCAAACUCCUACGGGAGGCAGCAGUGAGGAAUAUUGGUCAAUGGACGAGAGUCUGAACCAGCCAAGUAGCGUGCAGGAUGACGGCCCUAUGGGUUGUAAACUGCUUUUAUAAGGGAAUAAAGUGAGUCUCGUGAGACUUUUUGCAUGUACCUUAUGAAUAAGGACCGGCUAAUUCCGUGCCAGCAGCCGCGGUAAUACGGAAGGUCCGGGCGUUAUCCGGAUUUAUUGGGUUUAAAGGGAGCGUAGGCCGGAGAUUAAGCGUGUUGUGAAAUGUAGACGCUCAACGUCUGCACUGCAGCGCGAACUGGUUUCCUUGAGUACGCACAAAGUGGGCGGAAUUCGUGGUGUAGCGGUGAAAUGCUUAGAUAUCACGAAGAACUCCGAUUGCGAAGGCAGCUCACUGGAGCGCAACUGACGCUGAAGCUCGAAAGUGCGGGUAUCGAACAGGAUUAGAUACCCUGGUAGUCCGCACGGUAAACGAUGGAUGCCCGCUGUUGGUCUGAAUAGGUCAGCGGCCAAGCGAAAGCAUUAAGCAUCCCACCUGGGGAGUACGCCGGCAACGGUGAAACUCAAAGGAAUUGACGGAAGGGCGA